AUUUCGUGUCGGGACGCUAUCGUGGAGUGACGCAUUUAAAUUCUUCGUACGAUUAAUGCGAUUUUUGCACGUUUUAGUGAGAUAUUUGCAAAAGUAGCGCUUUAAUUAGUUAACUAACGGAUAAUGUUUAACGUAGAGUAGUAUUUUGACGCGCGUAACGCGAGUAAACACGGGAAAAGUGAACGAGAAUUGUUCGUUGCCGGGGUCUCGUUUGAAUCGUGUGUGAGAGGUCGCUGCUCAAGGGGAACGCUGUUCGAAAGGACGAGAUUAUUCACAAGCAUAAGCUGUUCGUGGAGGUUUUGGAUAAUUAGCGUGGGCGGCAUACCGGCUUAAGGAGAGGACGGACGUGUAGCCAGAGUGUCGUCGCCGCUUUCCAGGCAACCGCUUCCGGUAUUUAGGGAGCUCUUUGUUUUCACCCUUCAAAACAAACUGGAGGCUACACACCAUAACAGUUUCCAUUCCAUACUAAUUGCUGCGCGACGGAAAGCUGUUCUUCACGCGAAAUAUAAGAGACCUGGAAUUUGAAGUUCUACAGCGCUAAAAAGCUGGAUGUGUGUAUCUGCAGAUAUGGCAACAUCCCUCACGUGGCUCACCACGAUGUCCUUCGCCAUGUCCGUAGGACAGUCCAACACUACGUAUUUGUUGCUCCACCUGUGAAUUAUUCGAAUACUUUCAUCGUGUCUUUUUCGAAAAAGAAGCCGGGGGAAGGUUGGUUUGGUCGCGAACACACAUUAGCUCGAAUCGUUUUAACUCUUCUACGACAAUUUCAACCAUAAUGAAGAACGAUCGCGGUGAUGAAUCAACUGCAAUUACCGGCUUAUACGCGACACGCGGAAAUGGAUGGGGUCUGUUUACACGUCGGGACAACUGAAGGCGUAACAAUCCAUUGAUCGGUGUUGCACGAGCAAACGACUGUAGCCGAUUUUCUACGAUAUCUGGCAGAAAUGUUGGCCACUGGAGAACCGGAGAACGGAUGAAAUAAAAAUACAAGUGGCCACGUACCGGUUCGCAGAGUAUGAGGGGGUGAAACGAGGGCUGUAUAGGCUACGUUGUAAAAUGAGAAAUGCAUGAGAAAGCCAGGAGACUUACCAUCGUGGGAGUCGUAUAGGUAGAUGAUCUUCUUCCAGCCAUAGUAUCGUACCGUGUCGAUGAUGGCACGAUGAUAAUCCGGGCGCAUACUUAUGGCGAAAUCCAGGAGACCGGAGGACGGUGUCAGAACCUAUGGCAUCAGGAAACAGAUUUAUGCUGAUUUUUACCGAUUUUUGAAAGAAUACCAUCAAGAGGAGUCAAGAUUAUGUCUUCUUAGCUGUCACUGCAACGUGUGAUGAUAUAGGGACUGGUAAAACAAGCACCUGGGAUCUCUGGAACUCCUAAGGUCACUAUCGGGUAACCAGGGGAACGGGAAUCCUAUGGUGAGGGCCAGGAACCUGGAGAAGUCUAACAUACCCCGUGCAGUACAUAACUGUGGCGAUAGAUUUAAUCGGCAGCGUGCAGCAUGCGGCAUGCGUGUACGUCGCAUGCGAGACGCAGGACGUCGCUUUUUUGUUCCAUGGAUCAGCUUGGCUACCAUGACUUUGUGGCGAAUCGUAGCGAGUCGAUAGUUGAAUAUAAACUAUUUGUAUUUAUAAUGAAUAAACUGUAUUUCCUGUA
Molecule: long non-coding RNA, 1650 nt
Organism: Osmia lignaria (orchard mason bee)
Lineage: Eukaryota; Metazoa; Arthropoda; Insecta; Hymenoptera; Megachilidae
Source: RefSeq, a predicted model, not a curated record